Molecule: long non-coding RNA, 1163 nt
Filed under: Sinocyclocheilus grahami
Lineage: Eukaryota; Metazoa; Chordata; Actinopteri; Cypriniformes; Cyprinidae
Description: lncRNA (ENSSGRG00000014574.1)
Source: RNAcentral
UUCAGUGUCUUGUCUUAUCUUUGUAAGAAGCCUGUAGUAGAAAAAGAAGUGGGUCGUACCCUUUCGAACAUCUCUACUAUUCACAAAAAGGCUGACUUGAGUAAAACCAAAGACAAGCUGGUAGAUGUCGAAGAAAAACUUGUGGAGACCAACUUCGGUGAUGUAACACCUUUUAAAUUUCUCCAAACCAACACUUCCUCUGAGAGGGUAGAGGUAAGUAUGGAGACAGUUUACCACAGCCAUGAGGACACGGGGAAGAAAACCUCUGGAGAGAAGAAGAAAAGCAGAGAGAGGGGAAAGGGCAAAGGAAAUAAAGGACGUCAAAAACGACAAAGGAAACGUUUGGAAGAUCAAGACAACAUGGAAGACGAGGUUGAGGAAGCAUCAUCUGACGACGAGGAAUAUGAAUAUGAGGACGAGGUGCCCACGGAAGAGCCUUUUCCCUCUCGAGAGGAGAAGGGCGAAGGGGAGGAGCUAAAAUACUCCGCAACAACAGCUAUAUACACACAAGAAAAUGAGGGUGAAACAACUCCUCCGAUUACGCAGUCUUUAGAGGAGAUUACACUGAUGGUUUACACAACAACAGCGAGUCCCCUGCUUUCAUCAAAAUUCACAGAGCAGAAGCCGCCUGAAACCACGUUAUUAUCAGUGCUAAAUACAACACAAACUGGAGAAGAGGAGCUCCUCUAAACUCUGUAAGAGAGACAUUCAAGUGUGUAGAAACUGUGAAGGGUAAAAGAGGGGGAGGAUCUGACUGGCCGGCAUUACUUUGGGAGAGCCUCCUUUCCCGUCGCACAAUGAUGAUGUUAUUCAUCCAUGUUGCCUCCACCACGACUAGCGUUCAGUAUGCUGCAGUGCCUUUGAUAGAUUGAGAAGAACCGCCGGCGCUCUCUGAAGAGAGACCAGCCCAGUAAAAACAUAAAGAACAGAUCUUGUAGUGUGCUGUCUUUACACUUACUGAACAAAUGCAAGCUAAAUCAUCUAUAAUCCAUGUAAAAGUGACAACACAAAACACUAUCGAAUGAAGUUGUUUUAAUAGAAAAUCAAAUAAUUUGCCCUGACAGCUCAUUCAACAUCGAUUUGUUCAUCAGUUCCUUAUUUAUUGAUAAGACUGAAAAAAGAUUGUAUUUUGGUUGUCUGCAUAUUUCGUUUUUCAUUUGCGG